Molecule: long non-coding RNA, 1315 nt
Organism: Gopherus agassizii (Agassiz's desert tortoise)
Lineage: Eukaryota; Metazoa; Chordata; Testudines; Testudinidae
Source: Ensembl
AUGUUUGUAACGGUCCUUCAUGAAGAAAACGAAAAGACCCUUUUUAACAUUCACUGCAAAGUCCAGCUUCUCCUGGAGAGCAUCAAACACUGCUGUGGCUAUGAGAAUGAAGGUGAAAUCGAGCUGGCAGACGUGAGUGGCCAGGUGAAGAAUUUGCUUCAGAACCAACAUUGCUAUGCCUCAGAACUUCUGAGCGAGAGAGAGACCUGUGUACUCCUCAGUGUCACACGUGGUGAAGGUUCUUCAGAGGUAGUAUUUACACCACUACUGAAAGAUGAAGGAAUUAUUAACCCUAAAUUCCUUGCUAAACUGGGGAACUGGGAAGAUUCCAAGGUCUCUUCUACCAGAGUGAAAUCCAAAAAGGCUGGCAAAAAACCAACUGUGCUCUUAGAGGUUCCAUCUGCAGAAGGUGAGUCUCUGAAACCUAAUGAAGAGACAAUAGGGUUUAAUCCUGUUAUGUUCCCUUUAGAUUUCCAGCACCCACCCAUGAGCGUUGUGUGUUUCUGCUGCAGGAAAAAGGAGUCCAUCGCCCCAGGGCAACAGGACUAAAACUAUGGUUUCCUCUCCGAAAGAAUCCAGGAGACCCUGAUAGUGGCAAAUCCCAAGGGAUGGUUGGUGCUGAGCUGUUGGAGGACCUCUCCUUUCCUGCUGCCAUUUGAUAAUGUUUCAUGUUUGCUGGCUUGUUCCUUGGUGAAGCAUCUAUGGAUGGGUUGUGUCCAGGAGUCUGCAACACUAGGAAUGUUACUUGCAUGUAUUGCCUUUCAUUCUGAAUGACCCCAGAUUUACUGUGGAAAAACACUUCCAUUCUCUGCUGGCCAAUUUGAAAGGAAAUGAGAACUGCUUCCUUCAUGAUGGCUCACAGAAAAAUGAAAGCUGCAUCUCAAGAGGGAGUACCAUGAAAUAAUGAUCUAAGUAUGGGCAUAGAUAGGGGAGACCUCCUGAGCUGUAAUCCCUUUAUUGAGCCCUGCUACACUGGACCACUGAUUUACUGUUAAUUCAGCAGAAAAGGUGCAUGUGGUGCUUGACAGACCCAUUUAAAGUCACAGCUCCAAACCCCAAGGAGUUUACAGUCCAGCUAAAACUCUUUUUAGCUGGUAACUAAUCUCACUGAGCUACUACUUCAGUGGGAUUAUUCACAUGGUUACGUACCUUGCUGAACAGAGAUUGUAAUGGUUAAUUCACUACAUUAAAACAUCACUUUAUGUGAAACAUGCUAUAGUGCUAGCAUGGAAAUUGGCUGACCUUCCUUUUGUAAGGCCUGAGUCAUGUAUCUGUGGUCCUUGGCUCCUCGUGUGGAUGAUUCAGAUGGAAGGGC